GGGAAGUUAAGCAUCCCAGGGCUGAUGGAGGCAAAGUACACCCUCCUGUACUUUAACAGAGCUCCGAGCUCAAGAACGGCCCCGGUUUCUCUCCUAGUGUGGGUGACAGAGGUGUCUAGCUUACUUUUUCUUGGACUCCCUGAUUCUUAGCUGAUCUGCAUCAAUGGGGAGCUUUUCCUCUGAGACCUGAAGCAUGGCAGUACAAGAGAUUUCA
Molecule: long non-coding RNA, 214 nt
Filed under: Rattus norvegicus (Norway rat)
Lineage: Eukaryota; Metazoa; Chordata; Mammalia; Rodentia; Muridae
Description: long non-coding RNA NONRATT029554
Source: RNAcentral